AGGACGGUGUGGCAGGGGGAUGUGGGCCCAGAACCUUCUGGAAGGGCGCUGGGCUCCCGUGCAGGCCCCGUGGGGGUCCUGGAGGAUGGAGGAGCAGCCCCCCAUGGCUUCAGGGGCCCCAGAGCUGGCCACGGUGCCCGAGAGAGCUCACCGCGCCCCAGAGCCAGCGUGGGGCAGACCCCGGGAGACGGCGUCCGGCUGAGGACCACCUGCGAAGGACAAAGGACAAUGACCCAGAGCCCUGGGGACGCAGAGGGCAUCCCGGAGCCGGGGAACCAGCCUGAGCAAAGGCUGGCGGUGAAACUGCAUCACGGGGACCCCUGGAGAGACCGGCCUGGUUGGGGGUAUGCACUAGGGGUCGGGGGUCAAAGGCCUUAACAAGCGUCCAGCAGAGCAGUGACCACUCGGGGCGGGCGAGGAGGGGGGCUCGGCUCAGGAGGGGUCAGGAGGCCCCGCUGUAUCCGGGGGACCCUUCGAUUUCUGGGGCUUGGGGGGGGAGCGAGGGGCCUCCCAGCCGGACAGGAGCGCAUCAGCUUUGCCACGCCCGUCGGCCGUGGGCACAGGACCGGGUGGCCCUCAGGACGCUGCUUCUGGGGUGCCCUGAGCCCCGUCACACUCAGCACGGUUCCCGGCCCCCGGUAAACCCCCUGCAAGUCAGCUGGUCACCCUCAGAGGAGUUAAACAGGGAGCGACCUUCGGACCUGGCACUUCAGCCCUGUGACCACACGGGAGAAAUGAAGACAUGUGUCCACACAGACGCUUACUCCUGAAUGUCCACGGCAGCACGAGUCACGAGAGCUAAAAAGUGGACACAACCCAAACAUCCAUCACCAGAUGAUGGACACACACACGUGUCCCUCCACACACUGGGACACGACGCAGCCGUGAAGAGGAGCGAGGCCCUGACAUGGCCACACGUGGACGGACCUGAACACGCGACGCUCAGAGAGAGAAGCAGACACAGAAGGACACACGGUGUGUGACCCCAUUGACAUGAAACAUCCAGAACAGGCCGAUCCACAGACAGAGAGCAGG
Molecule: long non-coding RNA, 1035 nt
Filed under: Equus asinus (donkey)
Lineage: Eukaryota; Metazoa; Chordata; Mammalia; Perissodactyla; Equidae
Description: lncRNA (ENSEASG00005022335.2)
Source: RNAcentral